Molecule: long non-coding RNA, 457 nt
Filed under: Oncorhynchus kisutch (coho salmon)
Lineage: Eukaryota; Metazoa; Chordata; Actinopteri; Salmoniformes; Salmonidae
Description: lncRNA (ENSOKIG00005000221.1)
Source: RNAcentral
UGGAAGAUCUUUAAGAGGGGGAGAAGAAGACCAAUAGUGUCUAUUCAGACACAAUUCAAACCGAUAGUGUCUAUUGACUCUACUCAGACUAAAGGAGAAAGCCAAAAACUUUGUUGUCGAGGAUGUCUUGGCUGUCGCCCAUGUCAUGGGCCAAGUGGACCGUGGACAGCAGUCCGGGGAGCAGAGGAGGGAGAGGAGGUGGAGGGCCAGGAGGUGAAGGAGGAAGAUGGACUGCUGCCUUGUGGAGGGCAGCGAGAGGAGGAGGAAGAAGAGAGAUCUCAACGCUGCAGUUCAGACUCAGAGGGCCACUUUGAAACCCCAGAGGCUCAGAGCCCUGUCCAUGCUCCACUCCAAGUCCCAGAAGAGCUGGAGACCUUCACCACUGACAGAGCAGAUGCCCUGGAGGAGGAGGAUGAACAGCUGAUAGUGUCUGGCCCAGCCAGAGAUCCAGCUCCUA